GGAUAAAUAUUUAUUUGAAAAUGAAUAUUUAAUAGGUAAAUAAGAUGGUAAAUAAUGGUUAUAUUUUUAAGUUCAUUUAUCUAUGAUUAUUUGACCAUUUAAGUGUAGUUCUUUAUUUUUUAGUCACAUGCAUCAUUAAAAGAAAAUGAAAAUGAUUCAAAAUAUUAAAUGAGCUCUCGUAAGUCUUGAACCGAAAAAUUAGAUGGUGACAUGUUGACUGCUUACAUGGAGAAAAUAAAUAGCUCAAUGUUAGAAUCUAAACAUGGUGUCUAUAGAAAAAUUGUUUGUCUAUGAGAGAAGAAUCUCUAAUUCAAAUUUUAAAUUGAAUGUACCAGGGAAUAACAAGUUAUCAUAUUUGCAAUGGUCAGAGGUCGUUGCUGCACGUUCUAGAAAAUGAUAAAUAUUUGAACUAACUUUUUUACUUUAUCUCUUGAGCAAAACACAUAAAUCUAUUGCAGGACAAUGCCACAAGUAAAGAAAUUUAGAAAGAUUAAUAACAAUGAUUCUACUUCAAUCUACAAUGAGAAAUCUCUCUCAUGAUCAAUAAACAUUACUGUCGAAUUUUAACCCCACGUAAAUUACAUCAUCCUUCUUCAUCAACGAUUAGUGAUUAAGAAAAGCUUGAAUCUUGGAAGGAGACUCUCCAUCAAGCCCUAAGGUAAUUGAAUAAUGAGUGGAGAGUGAUUUUAGGCAAAGACACAAGGUACUUUAAGCCUUAUUUAGCCUAGAAAGGGUUGAGUUUCUACAGAGGUCAAACCUCAGGUAUUCAGCUACUAAUCCCAUUACUUUUAAUGUGUAUUUCUAAAGGAAGUAGUUAAAAACCAGUAGAAAAGAUCUUUAGGGACUGAAAGUAGUUAGGUGAGGGACGAACUAUUAUCAAAAAUCUAUUUCAUUAGUGAGGGAGAGAAACUCAUGAGAGAACCCACCUACACGUAGAUAAUCACAUAAAGCCCUAUUAGCACAUGUGUUGACACAUCUAUUAUCUAAAAAGAAAAUUCAAGAUUAUUGAAACACCAAUUUAUCCCCCCC
RNAcentral lists this long non-coding RNA (1029 nucleotides) under Spirodela polyrhiza (greater duckweed). RNAcentral describes it as "long non-coding RNA (SPOL_LNC001896)". Lineage: Eukaryota; Viridiplantae; Streptophyta; Magnoliopsida; Alismatales; Araceae. The record is from RNAcentral.